GUGGGGUUGAGAUCUCUAUUCCUCACAAGCACCUUAUGGAUAGCACAACAAGUAUUCAUGAGUUUAAGAGUAGGUAACUCUUUACCAAUUAUACUUUUAUAAUUCUUAACAUCUUUCAUUCUAGCCUCUAGAUCACAUAUAGUUUUGUGGAUAGCACAACAAACUAUAGUGUUCUAGUUAAGUUGACCCUUCAAUCCCAUAUAGUCAUACUUAAACAAUACUAUCCUUAUGGAUAGCACAAUAAAGCAAUACUAUUCAAAUAUGUCAUAAGCAUCAAUAUGUACUUGAUCAACAUCAUGUCAAUUUCUAUAGUAAGCCUUGUGGAUAGCACAACAAGCUCACUAAGAUCUUGACAUACUCUAUCAACCAAGUUUGAAGGAAGGCCCUUGUAGUAUCUACAUCACUAAUCAAUCUAAAUCUAAAAUUUAAAAAGAUCAAAUUGGCCAGGUAAGUAGGUAGGAGGCUCCUCGUAGCUUUUCUAGAUACCAAUAGAGUUGGCCAGGCUAGCAUACGGACCUAAUUAGAAAAUCAUCUUUCAUACUUUUUUUGACACCAAUUGAUCUUAAGAAUUUGACUUUUGAUUUAAAAGUGAAUUCCAAUAUUACAACUUAAUAUAAUUUUACGAGGAAUUUUAAACUGAUCUCGAAAC
Molecule: long non-coding RNA, 649 nt
Filed under: Elaeis guineensis (African oil palm)
Lineage: Eukaryota; Viridiplantae; Streptophyta; Magnoliopsida; Arecales; Arecaceae
Description: long non-coding RNA (EGUI_LNC038879)
Source: RNAcentral